CACUCCUACGGGAGGCAGCAGUGGGGAAUAUUGGACAAUGGGCGCAAGCCUGAUCCAGCCAUGCCGCGUGAGUGAUGAAGGCCUUAGGGUUGUAAAGCUCUUUCACCGGUGAAGAUAAUGACGGUAACCGGAGAAGAAGCCCCGGCUAACUUCGUGCCAGCAGCCGCGGUAAUACGAAGGGGGCUAGCGUUGUUCGGAUUUACUGGGCGUAAAGCGCACGUAGGCGGACUAUUAAGUCAGGGGUGAAAUCCCGGGGCUCAACCCCGGAACUGCCUUUGAUACUGGUAGUCUUGAGUUCGAGAGAGGUGAGUGGAAUUCCGAGUGUAGAGGUGAAAUUCGUAGAUAUUCGGAGGAACACCAGUGGCGAAGGCGGCUCACUGGCUCGAUACUGACGCUGAGGUGCGAAAGCGUGGGGAGCAAACAGGAUUAGAAACCCCGGUAGUCCC
Molecule: ribosomal RNA, 446 nt
Filed under: uncultured organism
Description: partial 16S ribosomal RNA
Rfam family: Bacterial small subunit ribosomal RNA
Source: RNAcentral